This 70-nucleotide transfer RNA is filed under the name human gut metagenome. It matches the Rfam family "tRNA". From Rfam's summary of the family: Transfer RNA (tRNA) molecules are approximately 80 nucleotides in length. Their secondary structure includes four short double-helical elements and three loops (D, anti-codon, and T loops). Further hydrogen bonds mediate the characteristic L-shaped molecular structure. tRNAs have two regions of fundamental functional importance: the anti-codon, which is responsible for specific mRNA codon recognition, and the 3' end, to which the tRNAs corresponding amino acid is attached (by aminoacyl-tRNA synthetases). tRNAs cope with the degeneracy of the genetic code in two manners: having more than one tRNA (with a specific anti-codon) for a particular amino acid; and 'wobble' base-pairing, i.e. permitting non-standard base-pairing at the 3rd anti-codon position. The record is from RNAcentral. RNAcentral also lists the same sequence under 4 other names.
CCGAUAUGGCUCAAUUGGCAGAGCAGCUGAUUUGUAAUCAGCAGGUUGAGGGUUCGAGUCCCCCUAUCGG